Molecule: non-coding RNA, 4078 nt
Organism: Microcebus murinus (gray mouse lemur)
Lineage: Eukaryota; Metazoa; Chordata; Mammalia; Primates; Cheirogaleidae
Source: RefSeq, a predicted model, not a curated record
UGUGGCCAGUCCAGAUUGAGAUGUGCUGUGAGUGCAAAAUACACGCUGCAUCCUGAAGACUGAAGGCAAAAAUAAGAAGGUGUGAGUGCUCUGAAGUUAACGGCAAGCACUGGACUAGGAGAAAGGACAUUAGGACUGUGCCCCAGCCCCGCUGCCACCUGGUGUGUGUGAUCUAGAGCAGGGGCCCCCAACCUAUGGUAACUUGGGUGACUCCAGUGAAUCUGGACCUUUUGGAGAUUGCUUUCUCUGCCUGCUGGAACCCCAAUGUGGCCAGUGACACCGACCAGAUCCUCCUAUGGCCCAGGGAGGAGGCUCUUGGGUUCCAUGGCAUCCCCUGGACCUUCACUGCUCUCCGCUGUGAGGAGCUGGACUAGCCUGCUCCCUGAACUCAUGAGCACUGUCAUGGGAUGGCCCCAUCUCACUUUCUGGGGUGUUGUGCUAGCACCCAUUGCUGGAGCCCAUGAUCCUUGCCAGCUGCCACUUGGUUUCUGCCACUCUGCUGCCACCAUUCAGAAUGGUCUCAGGUUCCUCUACCUACUAUUAAUAUUUUCUGCUCUAUCUCCAUGCCUUGUUGUGGGUGCUUCUCCUGGACUCGGCAUGCCUGGCGAAUGGUGCCUCUAGCCCAGACACUUCCUGUUGCCUCCAUACUUCUGUAUGAUUCAAAAACUCCCAACUUGCAGCUUGUGCCCUGAUACAUUGGUGGGGAAGGUGGUGGAGGUAGUAAUGGUAGUGGCAGGGAAGAACUCUGGUACCUGAUUUGUCUGUUCUCUCUCUAUCCCCCUUCUCCUAUCCACAGAUCAUGAGGAUAGAAGGGACAGACUUUCCUGUCAUCUUCUAAAAUGUAGUCAGGCCUAGCUCUUGAUACACACUCAGUCAAAGGAAAGUCUUUAGAAAGCUCUUUCUCUCUUAACAAUGACUAGCUUUCCAUCUGAGACUCAAACAUUGCUUCAGUGGACAGGAAGCUCCAGAACAAGAAUUAUAGGUUAUGAAAAUUUAUCUAAAAAUAAUUCUGAAAAAAUGUUAACCCCAUUGCACAAACAUGUUAGCUCAAUAGGAAAGAUUAACUAUGCUGAUAUUAAAUUCCAAAAGGAAUGUAUUCUGCGUGUCCUUACAUAUGAAAUAUUGAACAACAUGAUAAACACUAUCUUCAAUACUUAUUUGACAAAACUUCUUCCAAUAGCUAUCUGUUAUUAAUACAUAAAUCCUCAAUAAAAGCAGGCAAGAACAUUAGGCAUUUCUCUAAAGGGGGCUAAUCUUGGGUGAGUCCAGAUAUGCUGUAUUUGGUAUUCUUACACCUGGAUGCAGCUUAGACACCCCAGAGAAAAUAUAGCAUAGCAUGCAUCACUUUUUUCAGGCAGUGGUUGGAUGUGGGAGCAAAGGCAUUUUUCAUCUCUCCCACCCUGAAGGAGAUCAGGAAGAGUUUCAAGAAAAAGGGGAAGGCAUGUGGGCACAGCCAACCUCUCAGCCAUCACAGUUUUCUUGGAAGAUUAGUCAUGAUUCAAAAUGUGAACCAGAAAUGAUUUGAGAGUUUGGGAAGGAACUGAGUUUUGAGAGGAAAUGACUCAACAAGUUGGAGAAGAGAUCAAACUGCAGGAUCUUCUACAUUCAGGCUGAAGAUAUACAACUAUCAAAGGUCUGGAUAAGAAUUAUCACUCUUAGUCUGUAUCAGAAGAAAGAUUCUAGAAGGAUGUGCAUAGCUGCCUUAAUCAGAAAGAAGAUGAUCAUGAGGAAAAUCAACAUCUUUGCAUUGGAAGGGACUCAAGAGAUCAUCUUGUCCAAAAAAAUUGUAAGGGUUAAGGUUGAGAAAAAGGAGACAAAACUUGAAAUAUGUACAGAUAAUAUUAUCGUGUGAAUAGACACUCCAAGAGUCUACAAAUAUUAUUAGACCAAGUAAAAAAGUGUAGCAAGAUUUCUGGGUAUAAAAUCAACAUGCAAAAACUGAGUUUAUUUCAAUAUAUAUGCAAUAAGCAUUGAAAAAAUGUGAUCAUUUAAAUUUGCAAUAAAAAUGAAGUACUAACAAAUAAGUCUAACAAAAUGUAUGCUAGACUCGUAUAAAAAUAUUAAACUUUAUGGAGAGAUAUUAAAGGAUGUUCUAAUAAAUGCAGAGGUAUACUAUAUUCAUGGAUAAAUGAGUCUAUGUUGUAAAGAUGUCAGUUUUUCCAAAUUUAUAUAUAGAUACAAUGUAUCACAAUCAAAAUCUCAACACAUUUUUGCAUGUAGAAUUUGGUAAACUUGAAAAUUCAUAUGAAAGAGCAAUAAUAAUGUGGAGAACAAAGUGAAGGGAUUGUCCUGCCAAGUAUCAUGACUUAUUGUAAGGUUUUAGUAAUUAUGAUAGUGUUCCUUUGGCAUAAGCAUAGAGAAAUAGAUCAGUGAAGCAGAAAAGAGAGCCCAUGAACAGACCCACAUGUAUAUGGAAACUUGAUAUAUGAGAGAGUGAGAUUACAGAGGAGUGGGAAAGAGAUUUUAAAAAAAUUGUGCUUAAAAAAAGGGCUAUGGGGGGAAAAUAAUUGAAUAUCUACUUUAUAACAUAUACAAAAAUAAUUUUAAUUUGGAAUAAAGACAUAAAUGUGAAAUGUAAAACUACAAACCUUAAAAAAAAGGAGAGAGGCAAAUACCUUCAUGGCCUCAGAGCAAGGAGUUCUUAAAUGAGCUAUAAAAAUAAAGAAAUAGGUCCAUGAAGUAGACUGACAUUAAAAUUAACCACUUCUGUUUAUCUUACAUUAAUAUAAAAGUUGGUGAUAUUGAAUUUUAAUAUUUAGAUGUCAUACUGAUAUUGUAGUUAUGUUACAUAAAGAGAUAGACUAUCUUUUAGAAAUAAAUUCUCAAAAUUUUAUGAUGAAAUAAUAGUGUUUAAGAUUUGCUUCAAAAUAAUACUGGAGGAGCAGAAAUUGAAAGGGUAUAGAUGAACCAAGAUUGGCCAUCAAAUGACAAUUGUUGAAGCUGAGUGGUAGGUACAAAGAGGUUCAUUAUAUUAUUCUAUCUAUUUUUGUAUAUGUUUGAAAUUUCCAUCAUAAAUUAUUUUUGAGAGAGGGAGAGAUUGAGAAGGGACCAUAAAAAGAUGAAAACAAACCACAAACUGGAACAACACAUAUAACCAACUAAUAUCCAGAACAUAAAACCUAAAAAGUCAAGAAAAAAACAAAAGACAACCCAAUUUUUUACAUAGGCAACAGACUCGAACAGAUAAUCUGAAAAGAGGAAAUUCAAGUGGCUAAUAAACAAACAAACAAAAAAUGCUCAACUUCAUUAAUAAUCAGGGGAGUAAAAAUUUAAACCACAAUAUGACACCAUUACAUACACACCUGAUUGGAAAAAUUAAGUCUGUAAUACUGAGAGAUGACAAGAAUGUGGAUGCCUGUGGGAGUGUAAAUUGGUACAGCCAAUCUGGAAAACAGCCGGACUAGGUCUAGCCAUACUGAAGAGCAUGCCAUCCAGCAAUUUCAUUCCUAGAUAAAUACCCUAGAGCAACACUUGCACGUGUGCCCCAGGAGACAAGAAAGCUUAUAGCAACAUUAUCAGUAAGGGCCAAACAUUGGAAACAACUCAAAUGUCCAUCAACAGUAAGAUGCAUAAGCUGUGAGUUUGUAUGGUACAUGAAAUCUCAGCAAUGAAAGUCUACACAAUGAACCUGUAGCUUUAUGCAGGAUGAAUCUUACUAUGUCGAGCAAAUGAAGCAAAUUAUGAAAGAAUGCACACAUUAUGAUACUUAUUUCCAAGUUUAAAAAUAGACUAGUCAGUUAAACUAUAUGAAGCUAUAUAUAUGAAGUUGCAGAUAUUCAACUAUUUUUGUCUUACAAAUGGCGAUUUCUUAUCAUUCAACCUAAUACUGUUUAGGAUACAUACAUUGAUGGUAAAACUAUAACGGAAAACAAGGUAGUGAUUAACAGACAAGUCAGGAUAGUGUUACCUCUGAGGAGGAGGAGGGGAGAUUUGAUUGGGGGAGGAUGCAGGAUGAAGAGUGGGCGGGGAACUUCACAGGUACUAGUCUAUUUCUUGAUCUCACAGCUGGUUACAAAAGUAUUUCUUUUAUAGUUCUUUUUUAAACUAUGCAUAUGUUUUAUGAAUUUAAAACAUAUUU